Molecule: small nuclear RNA, 162 nt
Filed under: Meriones unguiculatus (Mongolian gerbil)
Lineage: Eukaryota; Metazoa; Chordata; Mammalia; Rodentia; Muridae
Description: U1 spliceosomal RNA (ENSMUGG00000003749.1)
Rfam family: U1 spliceosomal RNA
About the family: U1 is a small nuclear RNA (snRNA) component of the spliceosome (involved in pre-mRNA splicing). Its 5' end forms complementary base pairs with the 5' splice junction, thus defining the 5' donor site of an intron.
Source: RNAcentral
GUAUUUACCUGGCAAUGAAAAAAACAUGAUCAUGGUGGUGGUUUUUCCAGGGCGAAGCUUAUCUAAUGCAUUCCAGAUGUGCUGACCCCUACAAUUACCUCAAAUGGGGGAAGCGUGAUUGCAUAAUUUGUGGUAAUGAGGUACUGUGUUUACAAUCUUCCA